RNAcentral lists this long non-coding RNA (201 nucleotides) under Lathyrus oleraceus (garden pea). RNAcentral describes it as "Pisum sativum (pea) long non-coding RNA (PSAT_LNC004439)". Lineage: Eukaryota; Viridiplantae; Streptophyta; Magnoliopsida; Fabales; Fabaceae. The record is from RNAcentral.
GGAGACAAUCUUGCAGAGGAUCGAAAAUACUACUCAGGAAUUAGGGCUAAUCGGAGACAGGGACAACUCCGCUAGCGACUUGAGGGGAAACAAAAUUUGCUGAAUUUAUGCAACCUGUUGCGAUAAUGCACCUACAACUCGAGGGAGGCAAUUACAAACUCAGCUGGGGAAACUAACAAAAUUCGGCUGGAGAUUGAAAAG